Molecule: ribosomal RNA, 868 nt
Filed under: uncultured bacterium
Lineage: Bacteria
Description: bacterial SSU rRNA
Rfam family: Bacterial small subunit ribosomal RNA
Source: RNAcentral
AGUCGAGCGGAUGAGAGGAGCUUGCUCCUUGAUUUAGCGGCGGACGGGUGAGUAAUGCCUAGGAAUCUGCCUGGUAGUGGGGGAUAACGUCCGGAAACGGGCGCUAAUACCGCAUACGUCCUACGGGAGAAAGCAGGGGACCUUCGGGCCUUGCGCUAUCAGAUGAGCCUAGGUCGGAUUAGCUAGUUGGUGAGGUAAUGGCUCACCAAGGCGACGAUCCGUAACUGGUCUGAGAGGAUGAUCAGUCACACUGGAACUGAGACACGGUCCAGACCCCUACGGGAGGCAGCAGUGGGGAAUAUUGGACAAUGGGCGAAAGCCUGAUCCAGCCAUGCCGCGUGUGUGAAGAAGGUCUUCGGAUUGUAAAGCACUUUAAGUUGGGAGGAAGGGCAUUAACCUAAUACGUUAGUGUUUUGACGUUACCGACAGAAUAAGCACCGGCUAACUUCGUGCCAGCAGCCGCGGUAAUACGAAGGGUGCAAGCGUUAAUCGGAAUUACUGGGCGUAAAGCGCGCGUAGGUGGUUCGUUAAGUUGGAUGUGAAAGCCCCGGGCUCAACCUGGGAACUGCAUCCAAAACUGGCGAGCUAGAGUACGGUAGAGGGUGGUGGAAUUUCCUGUGUAGCGGUGAAAUGCGUAGAUAUAGGAAGGAACACCAGUGGCGAAAGCGACCACCUGGACUGAUACUGACACUGAGUGCGAAAGCGUGGGGAGCAAACAGGAUUAGAUACCCUGGUAGUCCACGCCGUAAACGAUGUCAACUAGCCGUUGGGUUUCCUUGAGACUUAGUGCGCAGCUAACGCAUUAGUUGACCGCCUGGGGGAGUACGGCCGCAGGUUAAAACUCAAAAUGAAUUGACGGGGGCCCGCC